UGAACUGAAGCAAGAGCUUGAGGCGGCCG
This 29-nucleotide non-coding RNA is filed under the name Mus musculus (house mouse). The record is from RNAcentral. Lineage: Eukaryota; Metazoa; Chordata; Mammalia; Rodentia; Muridae.